This 254-nucleotide long non-coding RNA is filed under the name Prunus persica (peach). Its description in RNAcentral is "long non-coding RNA (PPER_LNC001031)". The record is from RNAcentral. Lineage: Eukaryota; Viridiplantae; Streptophyta; Magnoliopsida; Rosales; Rosaceae.
AAUGACUCCUCCCACCAUAUUUUGAAGUUCCCCAAGUUAUGUUCUCAAUCCGAUAUCGAUUGGUCCAUGAAAUUGGACUAUUCAUGUUCGUACGAUAUUCGUUUUGAAAUGGAGUGGUUGGUGUUUUGCAUAGUUUCAGAGAUUGGAUUUCUCUCAAAACACAGCAAAUUACAGCUCCCGCCAGUUAUGUUCCCCAAGUUUUGUCGUCAAUCCUAUAUCGAUUGGUAAAUGAAAUUGGACAAUUCAGGUUCGUG